CAUUUCCUGCGUUCUCAGCGUUUGGACGGUGCGAGUGUCGUUGUGUGGGCCGACGUCGGUGCAUGGGCUACCGUUUGGGCCUAGCCCGCUGCUGCGACGCGUGUAGAGUUGGGCUCCUCUAUUCUCCCAUUUCUCCCCGUGAGUGCGUGCUGCCUAGGUGAAUUUCUGGGAGUUUGACCGAGCGCAUUCUCGAUCUCUGCCGAUGUUCCUGCCGGCGGCUCUGCUCUCGAUUCUGACCGCUCCUUCCUCUCCGCUGGCGUAUCUUUCCUGCUGCGGCGGCUCUGCUUUCGAUUCUGGCCGAUACUCCCUCGCCGCUGGCGGAUCUUGCCUGCUGCCGUGCUCAGCUGGUUCUUGCUUCUGCGAUUUUGGUUUGGAAGGGGCGUUUCUCUCGCCGGUUCACUUCCCGUGUUCGUUAAUUCUUCCUGAUCUUUUCCCCCUUUUUUCCCGAUUGCUCUGCACUUAUCUCUGUUGUCUUCUUCAUCCCAGGCUAUCCUCCGGCCUAGGGUUCUCGACCACAGACCCCGGCAGCUCUCCCGCACGCUGGAUCGGUCGCACAAACCCUCCUUCCCACUCGCAUCUCUAGGUCGUCGGCUGUUUGAUAACGCUGCAGUCACGUGAUCCCAUCGUCUUCUCCAUCUUUGUCGGGUCAACGCCGCCGCGAACAGGUCACGGGGUCCGUGGACGCCCGCCGCCGCGAGACAAGGGCAAGAACGACCAUCUUGGCCUCGCGGUGGGGGGCGGCGGCGAGAACCUGCUGACUGGAGGGUGGCGGCCAGCGGAGUGGACAGCACCCGUUGGGUGGUCUGCAUCCUCUGUUUAUUGGAUGCUGCUGGACCUCGGGUUGGUGACGAUGCACUCCAGGAUCCUUGCUGCGCUUCACAUGGUGAGUACGCCUGCUUGCCUGUGCGAAUCCAGCUGUUAGCCAAAUUGGCGAGGAACUGAAGGAUGUGUUGUGUUGGGUGACUUAGGAAGCUGAAAACUUAUUAAAAAUUUCCGGAUAGAUCAAGAAUCUCAUAGUAAUGCAUCCUUAACUGCUCAUCCAUGGAUUUCUGAUAAGAUCCUACAUCUAGAUAGAUAGCUACUCAAUUUGUGCAGCUGCGGUUUGCUCUAAUUGCGGCGAAGGUUUGUCUUCCCUAUUUUUCUUCCAUUUUCACAUCCUGAUUUUUGUUCAAAUAUCGCUUGUUACUGCUAUCUACGACCUGUUAGUUCUAAUUUUGUACAAUCAAAUUGCUAUCUGUUGAUCAUUUAUAUUUCAAAUUUCUUUUGGUUUAUAACAUUCUUUUGACCUCACAAUUGGAGAUUUUCUUUGUGAUUUGGUUUACUUCGUGCUGCUAAUUAUUCGUUUGUAUGAGUUGAUAUUUUUUGAAAAAUGAAAUCAUCCUCUUAAAUGUAAUGCACAAUGAGUACAGUGGAACCCGUAGAGCAUGAGGUUCAUUUUUACAUGAUACAGUCCCGUACAUGAGUUAUUACUCCAAGCAGCAUGUGGGAUUAGCUUGAAGUGAAGAUAGUCCAAGAACUGCAUGACGUUGAUCAUCAUUAGGUGUUAUGGAGAAUGCUCCUACAAUCAAUAAUGUUAUUGUUCUGUAGUAGCGAGGAACUAAAUUUGCUUAUCUGAUUUACGAGGUCAGUUACUCCUGAAUUGAUCACCAUUUUUUUAGGAUUUAACUCAAUGUUGUAGUGGUUGUAGUGAUGCAGUAGGACCCAUGCAAUUCACGAUACAUGCUACAUGAGUAGAAUUCAGCAGAGAAUGGUUUGUUUUCAUGGUUCCCAUUUUUGUAUCUCGAUAAAUAUGUGGGUCGGAAAUGCAGUGGAACUCCUGAAGAUGAACAAAAUUUUAAAGGAAUUAAGAGCCUUACUCAUUGUGCAUUACAUUUGUCUACAUACUUUAUUCUCCAUCAAUCUUCCAUCAGAUUAUUUAGAUUUUAGGUAUGUUCUCAACUUAUUGGGGAGAUGCAAGGUAACAUGGGAACGCUAAAGCUAAGGUUCUACAUAACUCGAAUAAAUUGCCGGUUCAACACCAUGUGCUCUCUGUAGCAAUAUGAUAUAUGUUCUUUUGCAGUUACUAUUUGAUAACAUCACCGCGCUUGAUAUUCUGUCAGCAUCCUAUGCAUGUGUUUAUUCAGUUAUUACAGCAAGAGCAAUAUAGGCUUGAAAGAAUGGUAUUUAUAUAUUAGUCAACAUUUAAAUUAUUAUGCCAGCUUUAACCUUUGUUUAUGGACUUUUCACCAUCCGAGAUUUUCUUAUCUAAGUCCAACUAUCUCAAAUCUUUCAAAACUCUAAAUAACAAAAGGAAACAUGUAUGUCUUUUCCUAAGUAGGAUUUUAAUGUCCAAUGAGAUGAGUUCAUGUUUUCAAGUGUUUUAAAAAUCUGGCGUAGGUGCCUUGGAAGUAUCAAGUAGUAUGUCCUGAAUUCGACCAUUGGCAUCCGUCUGUCGAUGUAUGAUUUGGUGUUUAAAUCUAUAAAAAAUGAACUAUGAAAUAAUCUGAUUCUAUAUGUUUCAGAGGUAUUCUACAUGCAGUUUAUUUUAGCGGUCCGCUCCGUAGCCUGUAGGCUUGUGUCCCCGAUGAUGUAUUCAGGGGCUCAUGUGAGCGCCUUUGGCGACAGCCGACAGGGUCUGAGUUUUACUUGGAUGGCAUCAGACUCUGGCUUAGCUUGUCAGACCGGUCUUUGUGGUUGUUUGAUCGUAGGUGUGUGUAGGGAUUUUGUUUUGUCGUCCAUGCCUAGAGGCUUGGGGUUCACGUGGUCGUUGAUGGUAGUAAGUGCCGGAGCUUGGGCUGAAAGAAUGAUUGGGGGGGGGGGGGGGGGGGCAAACAGUACUUUUGCAAGGCCUCCCUUCGUUAGAAGCCCAUGGGCUGGGGGGGCGAUGGCCCUCCCUGACUUUGCCAUAGCUCCGCAAGUGAUGGUAGUGGUUUCAAGGUUGCCAGUGGUGUGGGUCAGUGUGUUCUUUUCCAUCAUAUGGUCUGUCAUUCAUUAGUUUGUCUUUUGAUCUCAGGUUUUUUUACACUACUUUGUUGCCAAUCCUAUUUGUGUUCUGUUGUGGUAUAUUGGGUGUUUUUAGUCACCUAGCAAGAUAACGAAAGGAAGUGGCUACCGACGCAGUUGAUCAGUUAAGAUCAUGCACUCACCUCUUCAGAUCAUGUCUUCUCUUUUAUUUGUGUUCCUGCUCUAUGCAUGAUCUGAGAUAAUGGUAUAUGCAAGUUAGAUGAGAAACAACAUUUUGGUAGUAUCUUUGUUGGGGCAUUAUUAGAUUAAUGCAAAGGUAUAUGACCAGCUUCAUAUGGAUUUCAGAAUUUCGUACAUGCUAAAAGAAUAUAAAUUUCUCUGUUCAUUGUUGUUGCCUCAGCCAGCAACAUGGGCUAAGUAGGAUGUUAUUUAUGUAGGAUUAAGUGAUUCUUCAAACAGAUCAUGGUUUGAAACUUUUAUUUUUUUCAAAUCUAUCUUUGGAACUUAUUGACUCAUAACAAUCUGCAACUGAUGCUCUAAUAUAUCCCAAUUAUUUUGGAAGAAGCAGAGGAUAAAAGAGAAAGCAAUACAUCUGGAAGCUCCUGGCCGCCCGCCACAGAAAAGUGCCUUUGGAGAAAGCCCCGGCUGCCAUUGCCCAUGUCUCAGCAGCAAAAGAUAAAACGAAAGUAGACUGCGUGAGACCAGAGCUGGCAUACCUGAAGGUAAACGUUGAUGCUAUCUGUAGGAAGGAUUGCCAGACAGCAUGGGGGUCAGUUAUUAGAGACCAUCAUGGCCUGAUUGUGUUUUCAGCCUGGAACUUCAUACCGCACUGUCAAUCUGUAGCUGUUGGAGAAGCUAUUGCAUGCCUGGAGGUACCCAAGAUGGUGCUAGCAAUUUCCUCAAACAAUCUGCUGAUCCUAGAAAUUUAAUGUCUCAGUUAUGGAGCCUUUUCAAGACCAGAGCAUUGACAAGUCUGAAGCUGGGCUGAAUGCAAAAGAAUUUUAAGGUUAGCAGAAUUUGUAAUUCAGUGGCUCAUGAACUAUGUCAGUUCAGGCUUAGGGACUUGUGUGGUAGUGUGAUUCAAGGUGCAGUUCCGACCUGUGUGUUGAGAACGGCUCUGAAAGAUUGUAAAUGUGACUCUUAUACUUAUUUAAACCCCUUUCAAUAAAAGCUCUCUCAAAAACAAAA
Lolium perenne is the source of this 4131-nucleotide non-coding RNA. NCBI's taxonomy places the organism in Eukaryota, Viridiplantae, Streptophyta, Magnoliopsida, Poales, Poaceae. The record is from RefSeq and is a predicted model, not a curated record.